RNAcentral lists this unclassified non-coding RNA (404 nucleotides) under Bombus terrestris (buff-tailed bumblebee). RNAcentral describes it as "misc RNA ENSBTSG00005020398.1". The record is from RNAcentral. Lineage: Eukaryota; Metazoa; Arthropoda; Insecta; Hymenoptera; Apidae.
UACCUCCCCUCUUAUUCACUCUAUUAUAUCGCACUCCAUUAUACAAUUUGUCUCUAAAACUAUGGCAACUUUUGGGCUUUUGCCUCCUUGCUGUGCUUCCUUCUUGUCGUUCCUACCCGUCUUGUAUUGCCCUUCUCUUCUCCAUUAUUGUUUUUAGUUCUGUUAGUCCUUUUCCAGUCUCGUUUAGUAUUUUUUCUGUGUCCUUUGCUCCUCCCUUUAUUUCGCAUUCUUCUGUUACAUGUCUCAGGUCUUCUUCUUUCCUUUUACAUAGCCUGCAUCUGUUUUCUCCUUCUUCUUUCCAGUAUUCCCUUGCUUUGGUCUGGUUUCCACAUCUGAGUCUUGCUAAUAUUUUUCUGUCCUUCCACUCCAUCCUCCCUUCCAAGUAUUUUGGUAACUGUUCUUUG